This 948-nucleotide long non-coding RNA is filed under the name Micromonas commoda. RNAcentral's name for it is "long non-coding RNA (MCOM_LNC000128)". The record is from RNAcentral. Lineage: Eukaryota; Viridiplantae; Chlorophyta; Mamiellophyceae; Mamiellales; Mamiellaceae.
CCUUCCAACUGGCCGAGCUGCAGUACUUCAACCGCGACCACGUCCCGCGUUGCGUCAUUCUUACACUCGAAAGACGCAAUGGCUGCUAUCUCCUGCGCCCCCACCGUCCGCGCGACCGCCGCGCCCAAGGUUGCCGUCCGCCGCACCAACGUGCGCGCGGCCGCCUCCGGCCUCCGCACCCAGUUCGGUGCCGUCAAGGGCUUCGCCCCCGUCGGGUGAGUAGAACGUCCGGCGCUGCCGAUGACGUAUUGCACGCUGUUUGCUCCCAUUUUCCGCACGUUGGAUAGCGGACCGGACGACGACCUGGCGCGACGCCGGGGCGCCGAUGGGGUCCGGCGCGGCCGUCCGGGAUCGAUUCGACAUCUGAUGAGUCGCUACGACGCGCGGUAUCGCCGCGUUUCUCGUCGCGACGUCCGUCGGGGGCGCGUUAUCCGGCGGGCUCCGUGUCCCGGAUUUAGGGCUCAAGGCUGGGUGCCAGUCUGGGAGCGGAUAGGGGUUGAGGGGGGGCCUCAGCGCGAGGGACCGCGGCCGACGCGCGCGACCGAUCCGAGCGUAUCCUGCGCGCGUUUCGACCCGCGUCGAUGCGACGUCCCUCCCGGAGCGAUCCCCGCGCGUGGCCGCGGAACGAUCGCGAUCCGCCACGCCGCGCGCCCCGCGGCACCCCCCGUGAUCACCCCGAUCUUUCGCCCGGGAGAAAUAUCUCCGUCCACUUGUCACGGGCUGAAAAUCCAGAAAUCACGCGCUGACCUCGCCUCCCCUCUUCCCCCCCUUCACGACAGUGUCUCCGCCCCCAAGGCGCGCGGCAACCUCCAGGUCGUCGCCGGUGUCACCAAGAAGCCCGACCUCUCCGACCCCGUCCUCCGCGCCAAGCUCGCGAAGGGCAUGGGCCACAACUACUACGGCGAGCCCGCGUGGCCCAACGACCUCCUCUACAUCUUCCCGGUCGUG